UGGACAGUUUACGAGAGGUGGCUCAUCCUUC
This 31-nucleotide non-coding RNA is filed under the name Rattus norvegicus (Norway rat). The record is from RNAcentral. Lineage: Eukaryota; Metazoa; Chordata; Mammalia; Rodentia; Muridae.